Molecule: ribosomal RNA, 300 nt
Filed under: uncultured Actinomyces sp.
Lineage: Bacteria; Bacillati; Actinomycetota; Actinomycetes; Actinomycetales; Actinomycetaceae
Description: bacterial SSU rRNA
Rfam family: Bacterial small subunit ribosomal RNA
Source: RNAcentral
GCCCUUGGAUGAGCCCGCGGCCUAUCAGCUUGUUGGUGGGGUAAUGGCCUACCAAGGCGACGACGGGUAGCCGGCCUGAGAGGGUGAUCGGCCACACUGGGACUGAGAUACGGCCCAGACUCCUACGGGAGGCAGCAGUGGGGAAUAUUGCACAAUGGGCGGAAGCCUGAUGCAGCGACGCCGCGUGGGGGAUGACGGUCUUCGGAUUGUAAACCCCUUUCAGUAGGGACGAAGCGAGAGUGACGGUACCUGCAGAAGAAGCACCGGCCAACUACGUGCCAGCAGCCGCGGCCGAAGGGC